Molecule: ribosomal RNA, 407 nt
Filed under: uncultured bacterium
Lineage: Bacteria
Description: bacterial SSU rRNA
Rfam family: Bacterial small subunit ribosomal RNA
Source: RNAcentral
GUGGGGAAUAUUGCACAAUGGGGGAAACCCUGAUGCAGCGACGCCGCGUGAAGGAAGAAGUAUCUCGGUAUGUAAACUUCUAUCAGCAGGGAAGAAAACAGACGGUACCUGACUAAGAAGCCCCGGCUAACUACGUGCCAGCAGCCGCGGUAAUACGUAGGGGGCAAGCGUUAUCCGGAUUUACUGGGUGUAAAGGGGGCGCAGACGGCCAUGGCAAGCCCGGUGUGAAAGGCAGGGGCAUAACCCCUGGACUGCACUGGGAACUGUCAGGCUGGAGUGCCGGAGGGGUAAGCGGAAUUCCUGGUGUAGCGGUGAAAUGCGUAGAUAUCAGGAGGAACACCGGCGGCGAAGGCGGCUUACUGGACGGCAACUGACGUUGAGGCCCGAAAGCGUGGGGAGCGAACAGG